This is a long non-coding RNA of Triticum aestivum (bread wheat), 1687 nucleotides long. RefSeq lists it as uncharacterized. The transcript is spliced from 2 exons. Lineage: Eukaryota; Viridiplantae; Streptophyta; Magnoliopsida; Poales; Poaceae. The record is from RefSeq and is a predicted model, not a curated record.
AGAACAUUAAACUAUGACAGUAAUAACAAUAAAACAACAACAAGUAAAUCGGUGCUCAUUUUUCUCAAAAGAAGUAAAUCGGUGCUCAUAUAUUUAGAAAGAAAAGAAUUGCAAUCGAUGCUAGCACGCAUGGCAAGCUCCAGCAGCUUCUGGUCGGUGCAGCCAAUAAAGAAAGCAAUCCACACAAAAGAAAAUCCCCCCCGAGACCACUACUCCGUGGACAUCGCCAUUCCUCCAGCAGCGCUGCUGCUCUUCUUGCUCUUUCUCUUUAUCCAUCCACAUCCAGUGCGCCGACAAGCCCACCCCAUCAGCGGUGCUCUCCUUCCUCUCAUCUCUAUCCGUGCUCUAGCCACACACCACCCACGCGCCCUUCUUGCUUCAGUCGACGGCUCCUCGUUCCCCUCUCCCUUCCCUCCUCCACAACUAACCAAGCACCGCCCUCUCAUGGUUCACGUUCGUCGGCCGGUUGCAGGCGGCUCCUGUUGGCCGAGCCUGCGCGCGCGGGGGCUGGCUGGGCCGAUGGCUGAGGCGCGGCAAUGGUGGCCUGCUCACGGUCGAGCUCGGCGGCUACUUGACGGGGCCGCGUGGAUCUGCCCCGAGGCUCCGGGCUCCGGAUCUGCGUGGUCAUGUCCACCUCACCCUCCGACGGCGCCUUACUGCGGCGCUUCGGGCCCAGAUCUCGCCGGUUGGCGCGUAGAUGUGCGUGCGCUCGGCUUGAGGUAGCGCAAGGAUGAUGGGGCAGCUUGGAUGGUGGCCCGUGCAGUGUGCGGCUGCCCUCAGAACGCAGGCGUCCCACGAUGACGACGCAGGGGGGUGCAGCAUCUGGUCCAGCAUGGUGCGGAGGCCGGCGGCGACCUCGUGGCUCUCUCAGCAGAACUCGGGCUGCGGCGCGACGCCAAGCCACGCCUGCACUCUGCCGUCAUCUGGACGCAUGCCAUGAUGGUCACGCCCUCAAGCUCCAUGACGGAGGACCAUGGAGGCGCGCGGAGCGAGGCGCAGAGGAACGGAUCUGGUCGCGCAGAGGCCCACUUGCGGGAGAGGCAGGGAGGCGGCCAUGGCAGGUCGUUUUGGAGGGAGGCGUCCAUGGCAUGGGACGGCGGCGGCUGAGCGCAGCGCCGGCGCUCGAGAAGACGACGGACCAUGGAGGCGCGCGGAUCGAGGCGGAGACGCACGGAUCGACGCGGAGACGCACGGAUCUGGCCGCUCCCAGGUCAGAUCUGGCCGCAGUGGAGCUCCACAUCGGGAUCCAUGGUGCUCCAUCGGGAUCCAUGGGCCAGAGACAAGAUUUGUGAGAGAGAGGUCAGGAAGGGAGAAGGGAGACGGGAGAAUAAGAGAGAUAGGGCGCGCGGGAGGAGUUACGGGACGAAGGCUGGAGGUCGGUAGCGGUGGCGCUGGACGCCGGCGUGAGAUGCAAGCCAGAGGGAGAAAACCGUGAGGGAGAAAACCGGGAGGGGGGAAAGAAAAUCAGUGGGACGAGAGGUGGGUCGGGACGGGAGGAAAGAAAAUCGGGAGCGAGGGGGUCGUACGAAAGGCUUGACGAACAUAAGAGGGGAAACGAAACACUACGUUUGUUUUAGAUAGUAGAGAUAGAGAUAUAUAGGUGUGUUGGUUCAGUAUUUUUUUCAGAAUUUUUGAGAACUUUUGCACCGUUUAAACCCUUAUAGAAAAUGCUACUCCUUGUGAAAUA